Molecule: ribosomal RNA, 253 nt
Filed under: uncultured bacterium
Lineage: Bacteria
Description: partial 16S ribosomal RNA
Rfam family: Bacterial small subunit ribosomal RNA
Source: RNAcentral
UACAGAGGUCCCGAGCGUUGUUCGAAUUCAUUGGGCGUAAAGGGUGCGUAGGCGGUCUUCUAAGUUUGAUGUGAAAAUCCAGGGCUCAACCCUGGACCUGCAGUGGGUACGGGCAGACUAGAGUGCGGUAGGGGAGAUCGGAAUUCCUGGUGUAGCGGUGAAAUGCGCAGAUAUCAGGAGGAACACCGGUGGCGAAGGCGGAUCUCUGGGCCGUAACUGACGCUGAGGAGCGAAAGCAUGGGGAGCGAACAGG